This 492-nucleotide ribosomal RNA is filed under the name uncultured bacterium. Its description in RNAcentral is "partial 16S ribosomal RNA". It matches the Rfam family "Bacterial small subunit ribosomal RNA", at positions 29 to 507 of the family's 1533-position model. The record is from RNAcentral.
AGUGAACGCUGGCGGUAGGCCUAACACAUGCAAGUCGAACGGCAGCACAGUAAGAGCUUGCUCUUACGGGUGGCGAGUGGCGGACGGGUGAGGAAUACAUCGGAAUCUACUUUUUCGUGGGGGAUAAUGUAGGGAAACUUACGCUAAUACCGCAUACGACCUACGGGUGAAAGUAGGGGAUCUUCGGACCUUGCGCGAUUGAAUGAGCCGAUGUCGGAUUAGCUAGUUGGCGGGGUAAAGGCCCACCAAGGCGACGAUCCGUAGCUGGUCUGAGAGGAUGAUCAGCCACACUGGAACUGAGACACGGUCCAGACUCCUACGGGAGGCGGCAGUGGGGAAUAUUGGACAAUGGGCGCAAGCCUGAUCCAGCCAUACCGCGUGGGUGAAGAAGGCCUUCGGGUUGUAAAGCCCUUUUGUUGGGAAAGAAAAGCAGCAGGUUAAUACCCCGCUGUUCUGACGGUACCCAAAGAAUAAGCACCGGCUAACUUCGUG